CAGCAGCCGCGGGAAAACGAAGGGGGCUAGCGUUGCUCGGAAUUACUGGGCGUAAAGGGAGCGUAGGCGGAUCGUUAAGUUGGGGGUGAAAGCCCGGGGCUCAACCUCGGAACUGCCUUCAAUACUGGCGAUCUUGAGUAUGAGAGAGGUGUGUGGAACUCCGAGUGUAGAGGUGAAAUUCGUAGAUAUUCGGAAGAACACCAGUGGCGAAGGCGACACACUGGCUCAUUACUGACGCUGAGGCUCGAAAGCGUGGGGAGCAAACAGGAUUAGAUACCCCCGUAGUCCCUGUCUCUUAUAC
This 301-nucleotide ribosomal RNA is filed under the name uncultured bacterium. RNAcentral describes it as "partial 16S ribosomal RNA". It matches the Rfam family "Bacterial small subunit ribosomal RNA", at positions 509 to 807 of the family's 1533-position model. The record is from RNAcentral.